Molecule: long non-coding RNA, 1160 nt
Filed under: Gadus morhua (Atlantic cod)
Lineage: Eukaryota; Metazoa; Chordata; Actinopteri; Gadiformes; Gadidae
Description: lncRNA (ENSGMOG00000026139.1)
Source: RNAcentral
CAAAACGAUUGAUACGUAUCCGUGCACAUUUAAAAGUGGGUAGACGGUAGGGAUGGGCAAAAUUAUUCUUUUCCGGGAACUAGCGCCGCGUUGCCCACUCAAUGGAUCGCGCGUAUCGAACAGUCAGUGGCCUUCUUGGAAAAAUACCCAUACACUUAACAUUAUUUUGGAUGAUUACAAAGAAAUUACAUCAUAUAUGUAUGUUUGUUUUUUAAUAACAUUUGGAUUCACCAAUUUGCCUGGAUGGACACAUGGAAUAAAAUGAUUAUUGGCUAUUGUAACACUCCAAGGUAGGUAUAGUUUGCUAGAUGAAUAUGCUUAACUCUUUGCUAGUAUCAGAUGGUUAUACAAGUAUAACUACAAAGCCUUAAAGGUUGGGUAGGUGAUUUGCGAAACGCCAGCAGAUUUUGAAAAUACACAACUCAAAUGGUCCUACCCCCUCUCCUUCAACGCUGACUCUGACUCCACCCAUUCCAAGUACCUGGACGCGCAAUCAUGCACGAGCGCGAACAGAGAUGCGCGAGAGCGAGCCAGGCUAGCGUAGGUUUUCGUUUAACAACAUGGCACUACAUUCAGCUGUAAGUUGCACCCAGUACCGCGGGAAGUAGGAGUGCUGGGGGUGCUGCAACACCCCCUGUCCGAGGCCCUGUCUUAUCACAGAAAACGAUCAUUUCUAAAAACUCCGGCCAAAGUGGAGAUUUCUGAAAACGCCGGUUAUGUGUUGUCGUGUCAACGGGGAGAAACGGGAUUUUAGGUUCUGAAGCGUCACAUUAUGCACCACGAAAUGCUUAACGUCAUGUGAGCGCCCGCUGUACCGUAUUGGUCCGAAUAUAAACACAAACCCCAUUGUAAGACGACCUAUAUUUGGAAAAAAGAUUUGAAGACCAGAUCCGUUUUUUAUGAAUAAAUAAAUUGUAUUCAUUGAAAUAAUAUACGAAAAUAAAAAGGCAUCGAAUAAAACACUGCAUUGCCACUAAACAGUAGUGCAAAUAGGCCGUACUGAUGUGUACACCAAAGACUAUCCCUGACACUCCUCUGCCCCGCUGUGUUCGCUCUGGCUGUGGUCGCUCCGAACUGUUUCGGCCCGUGGCAAAGCGAGUCCUCCUCGCUGCUGUCCAAGGCAUUUUGAGACGCAGCAUUUAUUUAAUGCUCAUAUGACC